GCCUGCGCCACCUUCCAGCCGGCGGAGCCCCGGCACCGCGGGGACCCUUCCUGUCUCUCCACGCCCCGCCCCCCACCAGGAAGGCGGGGGGAGGGGUCAAGAAGGUGGCUGCCACCCUGGGCCGAGGCAACCUCCCCAGGACCCUUCCUGCCCCAGAUCAGAUGUCUGGUUCCAUUUAACUGGAGGCAAAGCCCCCCACCCUCGGGCGUUGCAGCAUGGUCCCCCCCCCUCCAACCACGUGGAGCAGGAAAAGGAGGGACCUCCCUUUUUUGGUUCUUGGAACUGCGGCUUCCGGAGCCUUGCCAGAAACCCAGCGCCAUGCCGUCGUAAGUGGCUAAUUCCAUUCCUGGAAGGCCCCUUUCCUUACAAGGAAGGGGAGAAAGAAAAUGGAGCCUCCAGAAAAGACGACAUAUAAAAGUGAGCAAAAAUCAAGGUAAAUGAAUGAACAAACACUUAAACUUGAUAAUAUGUGAAUAUUGCGUGGCACAAAAGGAUAUCGUUAUGCCCACAUGUAGAAAUAGGGUGGUGCCUACGUCUACAGUUAUCUCUUUUUUAAAAUUUUGCUUCUGGAGUGUCCUUUUUCCAGAGAAUUCGAGGCAGUGUCCAUUCUUUACCUCUUCUUUUUAUCUCUUUGAUUACCUUAAAAUCUCUUUGCUUAUUAAAGUAAGGGCAACUUUAGAGCCCUUUAAAACUACUGUCCUGUAAUCUUUGUUUUUCUCCUUUCAACUCAGAGUAGAAUUAAAAUGGGAGAUACACACAGUAUUUGUUUAUCCAACAAAGUUUGUCCCCAUCCUACUUCUGCCUGCC
Molecule: non-coding RNA, 807 nt
Organism: Python bivittatus (Burmese python)
Lineage: Eukaryota; Metazoa; Chordata; Lepidosauria; Squamata; Pythonidae
Source: RefSeq, a predicted model, not a curated record